This is a long non-coding RNA of Amphibalanus amphitrite, 758 nucleotides long. RefSeq lists it as uncharacterized. The record is from RefSeq and is a predicted model, not a curated record. The transcript is spliced from 2 exons. Lineage: Eukaryota; Metazoa; Arthropoda; Thecostraca; Balanomorpha; Balanidae.
UCAUGGGCGGACCGCCCGGCCGGUUCAUGGAGCCGCCGGGCCGGUUCAUGGGCGGACCUCCGGGCCGGUUCAUGGGCGGACCGCCGCCGGGCCGGUUCAUGGAGCCGCCGUUCCGUCCGAACCGGAUCCCUGUCAUCCACAUGGACGACGACCAGGACUCGGACACCAUUCUGGACAUUGACAUCACCGAGUGACGUCACACCGGGUGUCGCCCAGUGUGACGUCACACUGCAGAGCUGAGCCUCCCUGAGUAGGAAGCGGGCGGACCGAUGUAUGACGUCACGUCAGCUGGCCGGCGCCGGUGCCCGCACCACUGGCCUCCAGCGGCGGCGAGCCGGCACUGCGCGGCCGGGCGGCCGGAGCUGCCCCGGCGCCAGGCGCUCGGCGACCGGGCCCCGAGCAGCUGCCGGCGCCCCGUGCAGCUGCCGGCGCCCCCAGCAGCUGCCGGCGCCCCCAGCAGCUGCCGGCGCCCCGAGCAGCUGCCGGCGCCCCGAGCAGCUGCCGGCGCCCCCAGCAGCUGCCGGCGCCUCGAGCAGCUGACGGCGCCCUCAGCAGCUGCCGGCGCCCCAAGCAGCUGCCGAUUCAAUACCGAGCGCAGACGAGCCGACGGCCGACCCGACCCGGGCCGCGCCAGCUGUUAUAUGACACAGAUGAACGCCCAAACUGCCGACCGCGCCGACUGCUGUAGUGGCUGUUAAACGAGGAUAUUGAAAUAAAACGUCGGAACGGAGACCGCCUUUAUAAAGAAUUAAAAUGAA